UACGGAGGGUGCGAGCGUUGUCCGGAAUCACUGGGCGUAAAGGGCGCGUAGGUGGCUUCUCAAGCGCGCGGUGAAAGCCCGGGGCUCAACCCCGGGUCGGCCGUGCGGACUGGGAGGCUCGAGCACUGUAGGGGCGGGUGGAAUUCCGGGUGUAGCGGUGGAAUGCGUAGAGAUCCGGAAGAACACCGGAGGCGAAGGCGGCUCACUGGGCCGGAUCCGACACUGAGGCGCGAAAGCGUGGGGAGCAAACAGG
RNAcentral lists this ribosomal RNA (253 nucleotides) under uncultured bacterium. Its description in RNAcentral is "partial 16S ribosomal RNA". It matches the Rfam family "Bacterial small subunit ribosomal RNA", at positions 524 to 776 of the family's 1533-position model. The record is from RNAcentral.